RNAcentral lists this transfer RNA (91 nucleotides) under uncultured marine phage. RNAcentral's name for it is "tRNA-Ser". It matches the Rfam family "tRNA". From Rfam's summary of the family: Transfer RNA (tRNA) molecules are approximately 80 nucleotides in length. Their secondary structure includes four short double-helical elements and three loops (D, anti-codon, and T loops). Further hydrogen bonds mediate the characteristic L-shaped molecular structure. tRNAs have two regions of fundamental functional importance: the anti-codon, which is responsible for specific mRNA codon recognition, and the 3' end, to which the tRNAs corresponding amino acid is attached (by aminoacyl-tRNA synthetases). tRNAs cope with the degeneracy of the genetic code in two manners: having more than one tRNA (with a specific anti-codon) for a particular amino acid; and 'wobble' base-pairing, i.e. permitting non-standard base-pairing at the 3rd anti-codon position. The record is from RNAcentral.
GGUAGGGUACUCAAGUGGUCUAAGAGGGCGGUUUGCUAAACCGUUAGGACGGGUAAAACCGUUGCGUGGGUUCGAAUCCCACUCCUACCGC